GCCCGGGUGGCCCAACGGUAGAGGCGGCCGGCUUAAACCCGGCUCAAGUGUGGGUUCGACUCCCACCCCGGGCA
This 74-nucleotide transfer RNA is filed under the name Thermoleophilaceae bacterium. RNAcentral describes it as "tRNA-Leu". It matches the Rfam family "tRNA". Rfam says of the family: Transfer RNA (tRNA) molecules are approximately 80 nucleotides in length. Their secondary structure includes four short double-helical elements and three loops (D, anti-codon, and T loops). Lineage: Bacteria; Bacillati; Actinomycetota; Thermoleophilia; Thermoleophilales; Thermoleophilaceae. The record is from RNAcentral.